RNAcentral lists this long non-coding RNA (3008 nucleotides) under Sus scrofa (pig). RNAcentral's name for it is "lncRNA (ENSSSCG00015044256.1)". The record is from RNAcentral. Lineage: Eukaryota; Metazoa; Chordata; Mammalia; Artiodactyla; Suidae.
CGUGAGAUCCGAUCAGCCCAGGUGAUCUAUGUAAGAAUUGGACUAAAUGUGGAAAUCCACUUCUGGAAAAUGUCUGACAGCCACUCUUUACCACUGUUGCCUGCAACAGAGCUGGUCACGCAUCGCAAGGGAUUAGGACCAAAAUUGAGGCAUCCAGCACCCCGUGUUUCCCACCUGGGUGGAAAAGCGGAGGGAAGCGCCAGGGCGGAACUGGCUGCUGUGUCUCAAGGACUCUAGGAGAAGCCUCGGUCCCCGGGGCGGCAAAGGGGACCCGAGUGAGGCUUGAGGACUUAGAAAUGACAAUGGCGCCAGGGAGCGUCCCAGAUACCGGCUUCCAAGCGGCUAAAGCGGCUGAGGCGCGAAGAAGAAGCAGCUGCCUCGCUUCAGAUAGACGGGCACUUGCUGUCCCCUGCCGAGCCUGGAACAGGCUGCUCGCCGGGACCACGGCCUCCUACUGCCUCCUCUCACCACUUCAAGAGACACCAUCUCCUAAAGGUGAUUUUCUUUCUUGUUUUGUCUUUUUAGGGCCACACCCCUGGCAUAUGUAGGUUCCCAGGCUAGGGGGCGAAUCGGAGCUGUAGCCACCGGCCUACACCACAGCUCAUGGCAACACUGGAUCCUUACCCACUGAGCGAGGCCAGGGGUCGAACUCGUGUCCUCGUGGAUACUAGUCGGUUUUGUUAACCACUGAGCCAUGACGGGAACUCCUAAAGGUGAUUUUCUAUCACCAAAACUCGCCAAGGGGCUACGGGGCUGCAGAUGAUGGCACUAGGCCAUCGCUCUCAUUCAGGGGGCCCAAGCCAAGGCCCCUUAACCCGGCCCUGUCCUGUCGCUGGGUUCCACUCCCUCAGCCCUGCAUCCUGCAUUCCCCUCAGGCUUGUCUGGGUUUGGUGUCCCUGCCACCCUGUGGGUGCCCAGCUCUCCUGGGAGCACUAGUACCAUCAUCAUGUGACUUGAGUUUGGCCUGAGAAGACCUACCGGGCCUGCUGUCCUAACUGGGCUUGAGAAGUUGGGGUUCCUCAGCCCAUCUAGGAGAGAGCCCUGCCUCCCAUGCCCCCGGGGCCACACCACCCCUCCUCCUUCCAGCUGCUCCUUAGGGCAUGUGGGUUGUCUUUUUGUGUGUGUCUUUUUAGGGCCACACCUGCGGCUUAUGGGAGUUCCCAGGUUGGGGGUCGAUUUGGAGCUGCAGCUGCCACAGUAGGAACCAGCCACUUCAGUGUAGCAGGGCUGGGAUGGGUGAGGGCAGAGUGGGGCAGGAGGGUGCCUGGGAGAGGCCCUGGGGCCCCCCAACAUCUCUCUUUGGGAACCAUGAGGUACCUGAUGGGGUGGGAAGGAAGGGCCUGGGGUGUGGAGCUAGAAGAAGCAGGGACGCUGCGGGGACUCGAACCCCGGCCCAGCAGUGCCAGGUGUGCCACCACCAACGUCUUUUGCUUUUUCCUGCUCGUUUUCUCACAGACUCAAAGGUGAAAAGCAAAACCUGAACGCGGCCAUGAGCCGCAUCCAGGAAAAGAAACACCUGCGACGGCUCUGCGCCUCCCCCCGCCCCAUUGCAUGCCUCCCUCCUGACACCCCUUCAAAGGCAUACGGGGACACAGGUCCCCGCAGCCUCGUGGCCACUGCUUCUCAUCACGCUGGCUGCACAUCCCAGCCGCAGGAGCACCAAGUCAGACGGGGAAACAACCACAUGGCACAGCCCUGCUGCUCAGGACAGGCUCAGCGCUGACAAGACUGGUGGUGGAGAGAAAUUGCCAAGAUGCUAAGAAACUUGAGAAGCCACCUCUGCAGCAGGGCUGGGACGGGUGAGGGGAAAAGAACUUACUUUCAUUUUAUACUUUUUCCAUGGCUUGGAUUUUAAACUCUCCAUAGGUUACUUUUAUAAUUAAAGGCAGCAAUCUGGUUUUCUCAUCAGGACAGGAACUCAGGAGCUAGGGGGGAAGCCUUGAGCCCUCUGGCCUGGCUCAAAGGCCAACGGCCCUCCAGGCUGCUGUGCCCCGACCACGCUGGGUCACACAGACGGGCCCACCUGCCUCGCCUGCUGUCCUGUCCUGCUCUCCUGCCAUCGCCGGCUGUGGAUUCCUUCCUGGGAACAGCCAGUGCUUGAAACAAAGUCGGAAGCACAGCGGCCCCACCAGUGUCUUGUCUCACCCCGGGUCUGAGUUUUGGGGAGGGCGGGUCCAGGUCCGCAGGGCCCCUGGCCAGCACCUGCCCCCAGGCCUCCCUCCCAGCCCACUGCCCGCAGCACCCACUGCUCCCAGCCCAGGCCCUGCCUCCCUUGGGCCCACGGCGGGUCCAGUGGGUGCACCCCCUGCUCCCCACUGUGGAGAGCUUCACAGUCCUUGUCCGGGAGUCCUGCCCUGGCCCCUCCUGUUAGCCCUGAGGAGCUCAGAAGCCCCUUCCCAGCAAGGUCCAGAUGAGAAGCUGAGGCUCAGAGAGGGCUGAGAGCUGCUGGGGGUCACGCGGACCAUCAGGCAGCAGUGGGUCCUCUACUCAAUCUGAGGAACGUGAGCAGAGCCAACCCCACCUCACACACACACACCCCAACCCCAAGGUCUGGGGACCCCCAGGUGGGCUCAGAGCCAGGCCUGUGGCCCAGCCUCCGCCCCCUCAUCCCAACCCCCUCACGUCCCUGCCCUGCCUCCCAGCCCAUCUCCCCUCCCAGCCCCCUUCGGCUUUGUCCCCCAAACACAACACAAAGGGCAGGCACUUACUUAUUGCAGCAGGAGAGGGGACACGUGCACGGCCAUCUAAGUCCCAACCUGAUGACGAAGCCACAAAGCUCUGACCUUAAAAGGCCUCAGAAAUGGGGGUAGUAAAAACACUCUGUAAGAUGAGCAAAGAAUUAGUUUGACACGUUAGUGACAAGGCCCUCGCUACCUGUCCUUUAGGAAACCGAGACAGUGAUCUACACACGGAAACACGCCACGCUGGCUACAAGGGUGCAAGUUAAAAUGGCGUCAAGAAGCCACCCCCUGCUCGUAGUCCACGAGCAAAUACAUAAGGGAAUUUGC